Molecule: transfer RNA, 83 nt
Filed under: Oryctolagus cuniculus (rabbit)
Lineage: Eukaryota; Metazoa; Chordata; Mammalia; Lagomorpha; Leporidae
Rfam family: tRNA
About the family: Transfer RNA (tRNA) molecules are approximately 80 nucleotides in length. Their secondary structure includes four short double-helical elements and three loops (D, anti-codon, and T loops).
Source: Rfam by way of RNAcentral
GGUGCUGUGGCGCAUCAGGUUAACGCCCUGGCCUGAAGCGCCGGCAUCCCAUAUGGGCGCAGGUUCGAAUCCUGGCAGCUCCA